UGGGGGAUAUUGCACAAUGGGCGAAAGCCUGAUGCAGCGACGCCGCGUGGGGGAUGAAGGCUUUCGGGUUGUAAACCUCUUUCGCUAUCGAACAAGGCCCGCUUAGGGUGGGUUGAGGGUAGGUGGAGAAGAAGCGCCGGCUAACUACGUGCCAGCAGCCGCGGUAAUACGUAGGGCGCGAGCGUUGUCCGGAAUUAUUGGGCGUAAAGGGCUUGUAGGCGGCUUGUUGCGCCUGCUGUGAAAACGCGGGGCUUAACUUCGCGCGUGCAGUGGGUACGGGCAGGCUUGAGUGUGGUAGAGGUGACUGGAAUUCCAGGUGUAGCGGUGGAAUGCGCAGAUAUCUGGAGGAGCACCGAUGGCGAAGACAGGUCACUGGGCCAUUACUGACGCUGAGGAGCGAGAGCAUGGGUAGCGAACAG
RNAcentral lists this ribosomal RNA (419 nucleotides) under bacterium. RNAcentral describes it as "partial 16S ribosomal RNA". It matches the Rfam family "Bacterial small subunit ribosomal RNA", at positions 355 to 775 of the family's 1533-position model. The record is from RNAcentral.